Molecule: long non-coding RNA, 465 nt
Filed under: Anser brachyrhynchus (Pink-footed goose)
Lineage: Eukaryota; Metazoa; Chordata; Aves; Anseriformes; Anatidae
Description: lncRNA (ENSABRG00000000805.1)
Source: RNAcentral
UCCCAAGCUCAGCUGGAGGGGAAGCUGUAUUACCAACUUCAGUGAGAUCUUUACAGGGCCCUUGGGAGAAGGAAUGCAGCUCUGUACAUUUUAGAACAUCAUUGUUGGUGCUAUGCCCGUGGAGGAGAGCGGAAAGAAAAGGAAAAAGGGAGGCGAGCACUCAGAAUGGAAAAGGAAAUUCAAUAUUCUUUUGCUGUCUUUAGAAUGGACCUUGCAAAAGGAAUGAGAUAAAAUGGAGUUUCUUGCUACACUGAGAAUGAUCUUUCCCACUGAAGCUCUAAGCCGUGUGCACUCCAGUUCUGAAUGAAAACUUGAGCAGCAUUCUGAAAAGGUUUUUGACUAAAAGGAAGAGCAACAUAGUGAGGAUAACUCACAGAAAUGACUUAAAAAAAAGAUCUCACAUCUCAAGGGAUUCAGGGAAUGUAAGAGAAAAGUAAUAAUAAUAAAAAGAAUAAAAGAAAAACA